Molecule: transfer RNA, 90 nt
Filed under: Brevundimonas sp. LM2
Lineage: Bacteria; Pseudomonadati; Pseudomonadota; Alphaproteobacteria; Caulobacterales; Caulobacteraceae
Description: tRNA-Ser
Rfam family: tRNA
About the family: Transfer RNA (tRNA) molecules are approximately 80 nucleotides in length. Their secondary structure includes four short double-helical elements and three loops (D, anti-codon, and T loops).
Source: RNAcentral
GGACAGGUGGCCGAGGGGUUUAAGGCAGCGGUCUUGAAAACCGCCGUAGGUGAAAGCCUACCGUGGGUUCGAAUCCCACCCUGUCCGCCA